GGGGGUUUGCUAUGAUUUUUUUUUUAUAUUAUUUUAUAAAUAGAUAGAAGAAAUCUAGAUGAUACAUUUUACUGGGGUAUUUAAAAAAUUUUAUUUUUAAUAGAUUAGCAGCAUGUAUAAGUCUAGAUCUUGAGAUAGAUCUGCAAUAUCUCAUCAGUGCAAAAAAUAUUCUUAUUGUUGUCUUGUGCGACAUUGUUGCCUUAUGCGACAC
Molecule: long non-coding RNA, 211 nt
Filed under: Elaeis guineensis (African oil palm)
Lineage: Eukaryota; Viridiplantae; Streptophyta; Magnoliopsida; Arecales; Arecaceae
Description: long non-coding RNA (EGUI_LNC030136)
Source: RNAcentral